This is a long non-coding RNA of Lepidothrix coronata (blue-crowned manakin), 1097 nucleotides long. RefSeq lists it as uncharacterized. The record is from RefSeq and is a predicted model, not a curated record. Lineage: Eukaryota; Metazoa; Chordata; Aves; Passeriformes; Pipridae. The transcript is spliced from 3 exons.
GUGAUGCAGACCAUGGUGUAAGAGACUCAGUCCUCCACUUGCUCACACUCUUCUCCUUGAAUUAUUGCAAGAAAGAGAGAAGAAAAGAAACCAAGACCAUGUGCUUUGCCCUCUCUGGGGACAUCAGGAAAGCCAUAGUCCACUCCAAACAUCCUUGGACAAGUUGCACCCACCAGUCUGCAGUACCAUUUCAUAUUAGCCCACCUACAAAUUAGGACUGGUAUUGAACUGUGAGGCUUCAAAUUUUCAUUGUCUCCAGCCAAGAGAGAAUGUAAAAUGGCUUCAUCAGGUGCAGCAAAGAAGCACUUCAGAAUCCACCCAUAACUCAACAGACACAAAGCUCUGUGUCAGGUCUGCAAGGUGCUGUAAGAUCUCUAUGAGGAUAUGGGAACAUUUCUGGAACAACAGACUGCUUUGGACUACGAGGAUUCUUUUACUGAGGAUAACAUCAAGCAUUUUUAAGGAGAUGACACUCACUGCUAAAAUGCAAACAGCUGAGGGAGUGGCUCUAGGAUAGUGCUGCACGUGCAUUUUGUCCUUUCCAGUGAAUUAAGAAGAAAACCUACAAAAACAACAUCCUAGUUUGCUUCAAACUGCUGCAGUCUUCACUCACACCUUAUCCAUGGAAACCUCAAGUAAUCUUUGGCAAACCUGCAGCAUCCUAUCAAGACUAGCAAGGGAAAAAAAAAUGACUCACCUUGCUCUCUUCUGUCUACUCGAAUUUAAAAGAAUGAGGGCUGCCUUUUGUUAUGAAACCCAACCUUGUGGGGAUUCCAAGCUGAAGAGCACGAGUGCCUGAAAAUAUCAGAGAACUGUGCCUUAGCAAGAGAAACAGGGAGUGAGUGGAGGAGCCAUUCUGUUGAUUUUGGAAGGAGUGGCAAAAGUUCCACUGACUUCAGCUGGGCAUGAGCCAGGCCCACUGGGCAUAAAACUCCUCUUGGCAUGUCUUCCAUCUUCCACACACAAUACUGACAGGGGUCCUACAGACAAAAUUUAAUUGAUUGUGGCACUCGGACAUCACACAGAAAUUGUUUCUUUGUGGUAGAGUCUACCUGUGUGUAAAGAAUCAGCACAAACAGGACUACGAGGGACUUGGA